This 440-nucleotide ribosomal RNA is filed under the name uncultured bacterium. Its description in RNAcentral is "partial 16S ribosomal RNA". It matches the Rfam family "Bacterial small subunit ribosomal RNA", at positions 338 to 795 of the family's 1533-position model. The record is from RNAcentral.
CCUACGUGAGGCAGCAGUGGGGAAUAUUGCACAAUGGGGGAAACCCUGAUGCAGCGACGCCGCGUGAGCGAUGAAGUAUUUCGGUAUGUAAAGCCCUAUCAGCAGGGAAGAAAAUGACGGUACUAGACUAAGAAGCCCCGGCUAACUACGUGCCAGCAGCCGCGGUAAUACGUAGGGGGCCAGCGUUAUCCGGAUUGACUGGGUGUAAAGGGCGCGUAGUCGGCGAUGCAAGCCAGAUGUGAAAGCCCGGGGCUCAACCCCGGGACUGCAUUUGGAACUGUAUAGCUGGAGUGUCGGAGAGGCAGGCGGAAUGCGUGGUGUAGCGGUGAAAUGCGUAGAUAUUAGGCGGAACACCAGUGGCGAAGGCAGCCUGCUGGACGAUGACUGACGUGGAGGCUCGAAAGCGUGGGGAGCAAACAGGAUUAGAUACCCUGGUAGUC